GAUGGUAGUGAGUUAUCUCAAUU
This 23-nucleotide non-coding RNA is filed under the name Cricetulus griseus (Chinese hamster). The record is from RNAcentral. Lineage: Eukaryota; Metazoa; Chordata; Mammalia; Rodentia; Cricetidae.